CACUCGUGUAAUGAUGGCCGACGUACCAGAUAAUGCACCGCAGCCGAGUGAGCAGGCAGGAAAGACGUCGUCAUGUGAGGGCUGUCCCAACCAGAAAGUGUGUGCUUCUGGAGCCACCAAGGCCCCCGACCCCGGUAAGAACACAUCUCAAUAUUGUAUACAUGUGUUUUAUGACAUUAAAGGGUGUGGAAAGGCAUGGGAGAAACAGCAACUAGGAAAGAGGAAGGAAAUUAUAGCCAUUUCACAAACUGCUCUCCCAAACUAAAGUAUCCCGCUGCACUUUUGUUUUGCUUUGCCUCGAGGGACAAAUUACGAACCUCAUGAUAUCCCUAUUCUUGCUCUCUUUCUCUCUGUUUCACCCCUUUCUUUGUGUCUUUGUAUGUGUCUGUCAAUAUCUCUCUUUUAAUUUCUCUCACAACAUGUUCCCCUACCUGUCACUCAAGGCAAGUCAAAUAUAUUUUUACAGCACAUUACAACCCCAUGCAAUUCAAAGAGCAUUGCAACAUUUAAAACAUUAAGAUAUAGUGAAGCUUAAACAUUAAAUAAUUUGAAUACAUUUACAAAACAGUUAUUGCAAAGCCAAGAGAAUACAAAUAAAACAAGCUGAAAUAGAAUCAGUGUGUAAAAUGCAAGUAUAACAGUUACAGUCCAGUGUAGGAACAGUUAUUAGAUUUCUUACUUCUGAAGUUAUUAUGUCUUAUAUCAGAUGUAAAGACAUAUUCUGGUGAUAUUUACAUUAAUUAUGUGACCGUCUAUGUUUACUGUAGAUAUUUAAUUGCUCUUUUUACUGCACUUUUAGUGUACAGUUUUACUAUUAUGCUGCUGUGUUUAUUGUAUUUUGUAACUCUGGCACAACAAUUUCCUUCGGGAUAAAUAAAGUCUUACCUAUCUAUAUUCUGACUAGAUAUUAGACAAAUAUACUUGGCAAGAUUUCGAGUUUUUGUAGUGCAUAUCUUUUUAUUGCAUUAAUGUGAUUCAUGCCAAACGUACUGUUAUAGUCUCUCAGAGUGUCAUUAUCAUCAUAUAUGUACAUACAAGAGAAUGUGAAAUAUGUGUUGAUUUACUGUUUACUUAAGAAAAAUAUUUUUGCACACCUGCAGAAAUGAUCCAAAAAACAAUAAAGCACUUACAAUA
This is a long non-coding RNA of Trematomus bernacchii (emerald rockcod), 1134 nucleotides long. RefSeq lists it as uncharacterized. The transcript is spliced from 2 exons. The record is from RefSeq and is a predicted model, not a curated record. Lineage: Eukaryota; Metazoa; Chordata; Actinopteri; Perciformes; Nototheniidae.